UUGAUUUUUCCAGGCUAUCAUCCUAGUUUGAAACCCAUUUGCUCUCUGAAUAAAUUGUUCUUUGAUAGAGGAAGGUUUUGCAAGCUGGACCACUGGUUUUGUGGAGUGGAGAGUAGCUUUUACAAAGAAAUUCCUACUAAUCAGCAUCAUGGCUCCACUGAUUGAGGCAUCCUUUAAGGAUUUGCUUUAACUCACUCACACUGUCCUUCCUCGGAACUGGCGAGGUGGCCAUUUUUCUCUGGAUUUUCAGAAGAGACAACAAGGUCAGAGAAGCCAGUUGACUUGCCUGAAGUCACAAGCUGAUCAGUCAUGACGCUUGACUGUGCUUUCAGGUACUCGUGUGUGCAACAGAAUAUCCAGGAAACUUCUGAACGGUGCUGGGACACACUUGGAGUCCUGAAAAUUCUACAAGUUGCAAGGGGACAAGAUUUCAAGAAAUUUUUACUUUCUUCGGAUUCAGGACAUUUCUCUUCUUAUGACACUUUCCCAUCUUGAUGAAUCCAGUUCUGUUCCUUCUAUGAGACUACAUUACUAACUGGAGUAAAGAUUGUAUUUGUAAGUCUCCUUGCUUCUAGAUGUGGCGGUAUAACUAAAUUCUGGCCAGUGAGGAUAAAUAUAUAUGUUCUGGAACAUACCCUUAAAGGUAGAGGCCUGUCAUGGGUCUUCUAUUGCCUAAGCAGUAGCUGGGAUGGCUGGAACACCAUCUUUGGAUCAAGAGAAUAAUAAUCAUCCUAGUAAUGAUAAAAUAGAAUCUGGAUGCAGUCCAGGGUUUAGAUGACCACAGAACCAGCAACCAAACCCAUUCUGCUCUGCUGAUUCUCCAGGUAUAUAUGAGUAUCGUUGUCAUUUUUUUUUUGUUGCUGAGUCAAAAUACCUAAUACCCAUUGUUAAAGGAGGAAAGGUUUAUUUUGGCUCAUAGUUUAUAGAGGUGUUAGUCCAUAGUUGGCUGGCUCAAGGCAGGUUGCCAUAGCACAGGGCAUCAAAGAGGAGAAACAGUUUAUGGCAGGGUAGGCAGGAGGCAGCAAGCAGCAGCAGCACCUGCAGCAGCCACAGCAGGAAACUUCCUUUUCCCUUUUAUCCCAUCCAGGCUACAAGCCUUUGGGGUAAUGCCACCCAUGCCUAGAGUGGGCCUUCUUCCCAUAAUGUAUAUACAGAACUAUGCUAAACCAAUCAGUGGACUAAUUUACUUAUCACAUCCUUAAUCCAUAUCCAUACACCUCAAAUCCAGUCACCUCCAAAAAGACCCACUGAUGAGUGCAUGAGGCUUUGAGGAGAUGUCUAUAUAGAAGCCAUAAAUAGGGUGGAAGUAAAACCAUGUCUGCUCAUUUUUUUUUGCAAAUGUUGCCUAUUGUACACAGUUGUAUUUGACUUUUAACUAUAUAUGUGUGUAUAUAUAAAUAUGUGCAUAUAUCAUCUCCUCCAGAAAAUUCUAUCAUCCAUGAAUAUGUGACAUAUUUACCACUGUGGGUAGGGGUGAAACCCUGGCUCUGAAUGAUUUGCAUCCAAAAAACAAUGCAGGCCUCCUGUUCUAAUUAAUUUGGAUCAGACCCAUGGAAUUUAAAAUAUUGUAAGUAAAAAAAAAUGUAAGUAAGCACUUCUAAUUAGAAGGCAAUUUAGUUAAGUUAAGUCAUUUUGGUAGUCUUUCCUUAAGUGGAAAUUCUGAAAACUCAUUUCUCCUUUUAGCCCUAUAAAUUAUAAAACUAACACAUUAGAUGUUCUGAUUGACUUACACGCCAUGUAACCAAAUGACUAUGGAAACCCAGAUCAAUUCCCCUUAGUUGAGGGCACUGAGGUAGAAGUAAGCAUUCCUUCUUCAACCUCCCUCCCCCAAACUCUCUUGUGUCAAAGCCAAAUAUUGCAGGGAUUUGAAAAAUGUAUGUCAUGAGGUAGAACCAGACAAUUCUCCAAACAACCCAAGUUAGAGUGAGUCAAAAUUGAAUAAUUCCUUUACUGAAAGCACUCUCUUCCACGGAUAUUUGAAUGAACAGACUGAAGAAUGAAUCUCAGAAGGCUCAUUUCAUUUUCCUGUUUGCCAUUUUCAUCUUGCCUCAUAACAUCAAAUACUGGAAGAACUACUACAAACUUUAGUCCUACAUGACUUGGAGAGGGCCC
This 2112-nucleotide long non-coding RNA is filed under the name Fukomys damarensis (Damara mole-rat). Its description in RNAcentral is "lncRNA (ENSFDAG00000033322.1)". The record is from RNAcentral. Lineage: Eukaryota; Metazoa; Chordata; Mammalia; Rodentia; Bathyergidae.